AAGCUUGCUUUUCUGAGACCGGCGCACGGGUGCGUAACGCGUAUGCAAUCUACCUUUCACAGAGGGAUAGCCCAGAGAAAUUUGGAUUAAUACCUCAUAGUAUAAUUGAGUGGCAUCAUUUAAUUAUUAAAGAUUUAUCGGUGAAAGAUGAGCAUGCGUCCCAUUAGCUAGUUGGUAUGGUAACGGCAUACCAAGGCUACGAUGGGUAGGGGUCCUGAGAGGGAGAUCCCCCACACUGGUACUGAGACACGGACCAGACUCC
This 262-nucleotide ribosomal RNA is filed under the name unidentified marine bacterioplankton. RNAcentral describes it as "partial 16S ribosomal RNA". It matches the Rfam family "Bacterial small subunit ribosomal RNA", at positions 76 to 339 of the family's 1533-position model. The record is from RNAcentral.